CAAGAGUUUGAUACUGGCUCAGGACGAAAGCUGGCGGCGUGCUUAACACAUGCAAGUCGAACGGUAAUGCCCCUCGGGGUACACGAGUGGCGAACGGGUGAGUAACACGUGAGUAACCUGCCCCGGACUCUGGGAUAAGCAUUCGAAAGGGUGUCUAAUACUGGAUAGGACUCCUGCCUGCAUGGGUGGGGGUGGAAAGAUUUUUUGGUUCGGGAUGGGCUCGCGGCCUAUCAGCUUGUUGGUGGGGUGAUGGCCUACCAAGGCGUCGACGGGUAGCCGGCCUGAGAGGGCGACCGGCCACACUGGGACUGAGAUACGGCCCAGACUCCUACGGGAGGCAGCAGUGGGGAAUAUUGCGCAAUGGGCGGAAGCCUGACGCAGCAACGCCGCGUGCGGGAUGACGGCCUUCGGGUUGUAAACCGCUUUCACCCAUGACGAAGAUUUUUUUGACGGUAGUGGGAGAAGAAGCACCGGCCAACUACGUGCCAGCAGCCGCGGUGAUACGUAGGGUGCGAGCGUUGUCCGGAAUUAUUGGGCGUAAAGAGCUUGUAGGCGGUUUGUCGCGUCGGAAGUGAAAACUCGGGGCUUAACUUCGAGCUUGCUUCCGAUA
RNAcentral lists this ribosomal RNA (610 nucleotides) under uncultured Actinomycetes bacterium. RNAcentral's name for it is "bacterial SSU rRNA". It matches the Rfam family "Bacterial small subunit ribosomal RNA", at positions 1 to 632 of the family's 1533-position model. Lineage: Bacteria; Bacillati; Actinomycetota; Actinomycetes. The record is from RNAcentral.